This 391-nucleotide ribosomal RNA is filed under the name uncultured bacterium. RNAcentral describes it as "bacterial SSU rRNA". It matches the Rfam family "Bacterial small subunit ribosomal RNA", at positions 30 to 423 of the family's 1533-position model. The record is from RNAcentral.
AUUGAACGCUGGCGGCAUGCCUUACACAUGCAAGUCGAACGGCAGCACGGGAGCAAUCCUGGUGGCGAGUGGCGAACGGGUGAGUAAUAUAUCGGAACGUGCCCAGUCGUGGGGAUAACGUAGCGAAAGCUACGCUAAUACCGCAUACGAUCUACGGAUGAAAGCGGGGGAUCGCAAGACCUCGCGCGAUUGGAGCGGCCGAUAUCAGAUUAGGUAGUUGGUGAGGUAAAGGCUCACCAAGCCGACGAUCUGUAGCUGGUCUGAGAGGACGACCAGCCACACUGGGACUGAGACACGGCCCAGACUCCUACGGGAGGCAGCAGUGGGAAUUUUGGACAAUGGGCGCAAGCCUGAUCCAGCAAUGCCGCGUGCAGGAUGAAGGCCCUUGGUU